This 441-nucleotide ribosomal RNA is filed under the name uncultured bacterium. RNAcentral describes it as "partial 16S ribosomal RNA". It matches the Rfam family "Bacterial small subunit ribosomal RNA", at positions 338 to 795 of the family's 1533-position model. The record is from RNAcentral.
CCUACGGGGUGCAGCAGUGGGGAAUAUUGGGCAAUGGAGGCAACUCUGACCCAGCAAUGCCGCGUGAGUGAUGAAGGUAAUUUUAUUGUAAAGCUCUUUUCUUUGGAACGAAUAAAUGACGGUACCAAAGGAAUAAGCCCCGGCUAACUACGUGCCAGCAGCCGCGGUAAUACGGAGGAUGCGAGCGUUAUCCGGAUUUAUUGGGUUUAAAGGGUGCGCAGGCGGAGGCACAAGUCAGCGGUAAAAUCGCGGGGCUCAACCCCGCUCCGCCGUUGAAACUGUGUCCCUUGAGUGCGCGAAGGGUAGGCGGAAUGCGUGGUGUAGCGGGGAAAUGCAUAGAUAUCACGCAGAACUCCGAUCGCGAAGGCAGCCUACCGGCGCGCAACUGACGCUCAUGCACGAAAGCGUGGGUAUCGAACAGGAUUAGAUACCCUGGUAGUC